GGUGAGUAACACGUGGGCAACCUGCCUGUAAGACUGGGAUAACUCCGGGAAACCGGGGCUAAUACCGGAUAAACUCACGCACCACAUGGUGCGAGGGUAAAAGAUGGUUUUGCCAUCACUUACAGAUGGGCCCGCGGCGCAUUAGCUAGUUGGUGGGGUAAAGGCCUACCAAGGCGACGAUGCGUAGCCGACCUGAGAGGGUGAAUCGGCCACACUGGGACUGAGACACGGCCCAANACNCCNNNGGAGNGGCAGCNNUNGGNAAUCUUCCGANNGGNGAANAAAUUUUUNACGGAANNANCGCCCGCGUGAGCGAGGAAGGNNNUCUUCGGAUCGUAAAGCUCUGUUGUUAGAGAANAACAAGUGCCAUAGGAAAUGAUGGCACCAUGACGGUACCUAACCAGAAAGCCCCGGUUAACUACGUGCCAGCAGCCGCGGUAAUACGUANGGGGCAAGCGUUGUCCGGAAUUAUUGGGCGUAAAGCGCGCGCANGCGGCUUCUUAAGUCUGAUGUGAAAGCCCGCGGCUCANCCGCGGANGGUCAUUGGAAACUGGGGAGCUUGAGUGCAGAANANGAGAGUGGAAUUCCACGUGUANCGGUGAAAUGCGUAGAGAUGUGGAGGAACACCAGUGGCGAAAGCGGCUCUCUGGUCUGUCACUGACGCUGANCGCGAAAGCGUGGGGAGCANACAGGAUUAGAUACCCUGGUAGUCCANNCC
RNAcentral lists this ribosomal RNA (718 nucleotides) under uncultured bacterium. Its description in RNAcentral is "partial 16S rRNA". It matches the Rfam family "Bacterial small subunit ribosomal RNA", at positions 105 to 801 of the family's 1533-position model. The record is from RNAcentral.